UGGAUUAGUGGCGAACGGGUGAGUAACACGUGAGCAAUCUGCCCCUGACUCUGGGAUAACUCCGAGAAAUCGGUGCUAAUACCGAAUAUUGAAACAUAAGUGGCAUCACUGAGUUUUGAAAGAAUUUCGGUGGAGGAUGACUUCGCGGCCUAUCAGCUAGUUGGUGAGGUAAUGGCUCACCAAGGCAACGACGGGUAGCCGGCCUGAGAGGGCGACCGGCCACACUGGGACUGAGACACGGCCCAGACUCC
Molecule: ribosomal RNA, 251 nt
Filed under: uncultured bacterium
Lineage: Bacteria
Description: partial 16S ribosomal RNA
Rfam family: Bacterial small subunit ribosomal RNA
Source: RNAcentral